CGAAGGGGGCGAGCGUUAUUCGGAAUCACUGGGCGUAAAGCGUGCGUAGGCUGUCUCGCAAGUUGGGAGUGAAAUCCCGGGGCUCAACCCCGGAAUUGCUUUCAAAACUGCGGGACUCGAAUUCGGGAGAGGAUAGCGGAAUUCCCAGUGUAGUAGUGAAAUACGUAGAUAUUGGGAGGAACACCAGUGGCGCAAGCGGCUAUCUGGACCGACAUUGACGCUGAGGCACGAAAGCGUGGGGAUCAAACAGGAUUAGAUACCCUGGUAGUCCACGCUGUAAACGAUGCGAGUUUGUCGCCGGGAGGUUUUCCUUUCGGUGACGCAGCUAACGCGAUAAACUCGCCGCCUGGGAAGUACGGCCGCAAGGUUA
RNAcentral lists this ribosomal RNA (370 nucleotides) under uncultured organism. RNAcentral describes it as "bacterial SSU rRNA". It matches the Rfam family "Bacterial small subunit ribosomal RNA", at positions 526 to 896 of the family's 1533-position model. The record is from RNAcentral.